UUUAUGGAGAGUUUGAUCCUGGCUCAGGAUGAACGCUGGCGGCGUGCCUAAUACAUGCAAGUCGAGCGAACAGACGAGGAGCUUGCUCCUCUGACGUUAGCGGCGGACGGGUGAGUAACACGUGGAUAACCUACCUAUAAGACUGGGAUAACUUCGGGAAACCGGAGCUAAUACCGGAUAAUAUAUUGAACCGCAUGGUUCAAUAGUGAAAGACGGUUUUGCUGUCACUUAUAGAUGGAUCCGCGCCGCAUU
RNAcentral lists this ribosomal RNA (252 nucleotides) under Staphylococcus epidermidis. Its description in RNAcentral is "partial 16S ribosomal RNA". It matches the Rfam family "Bacterial small subunit ribosomal RNA", at positions 1 to 242 of the family's 1533-position model. The record is from RNAcentral. Lineage: Bacteria; Bacillati; Bacillota; Bacilli; Caryophanales; Staphylococcaceae.